AUUGUGAGCUCGAUGAGUAGGGCGGGACACGUGGUAUCCUGUCUGAAUAUGGGGGGACCAUCCUCCAAGGCUAAAUACUCCUGACUGACCGAUAGUGAACCAGUACCGUGAGGGAAAGGCGAAAAGAACCCCGGCGAGGGGAGUGAAAAAGAACCUGAAACCGUGUACGUACAAGCAGUGGGAGCCUCUUAAUGGGGUGACUGCGUACCUUUUGUAUAAUGGGUCAGCGACUUAUAUUCUGUAGCAAGGUUAACCGAAUAGGGGAGCCGAAGGGAAACCGAGUCUUAACUGGGCGUUAAGUUGCAGGGUAUAGACCCGAAACCCGGUGAUCUAGCCAUGGGCAGGUUGAAGGUUGGGUAACACUAACUGGAGGACCGAACCGACUAAUGUUGAAAAAUUAGCGGAUGACUUGUGGCUGGGGGUGAAAGGCCAAUCAAACCGGGAGAUAGCUGGUUCUCCCCGAAAGCUAUUUAGGUAGCGCCUCGUGAAUUCAUCUCCGGGGGUAGAGCACUGUUUCGGCAAGGGGGUCAUCCCGACUUACCAACCCGAUGCAAACUGCGAAUACCGGAGAAUGUUAUCACGGGAGACACACGGCGGGUGCUAACGUCCGUCGUGAAGAGGGAAACAACCCAGACCGCCAGCUAAGGUCCCAAAGUCAUGGUUAAGUGGGAAACGAUGUGGGAAGGCCCAGACAGCCAGGAUGUUGGCUUAGAAGCAGCCAUCAUUUAAAGAAAGCGUAAUAGCUCACUGGUCGAGUCGGCCUGCGCGGAAGAUGUAACGGGGCUAAACCAUGCACCGAAGCUGCGGCAGCGACACUAUGUGUUGUUGGGUAGGGGAGCGUUCUGUAAGCC
Molecule: ribosomal RNA, 851 nt
Filed under: Escherichia coli
Lineage: Bacteria; Pseudomonadati; Pseudomonadota; Gammaproteobacteria; Enterobacterales; Enterobacteriaceae
Description: partial 23S ribosomal RNA
Rfam family: Bacterial large subunit ribosomal RNA
Source: RNAcentral